Molecule: non-coding RNA, 2399 nt
Organism: Solanum lycopersicum (tomato)
Lineage: Eukaryota; Viridiplantae; Streptophyta; Magnoliopsida; Solanales; Solanaceae
Source: RefSeq, a predicted model, not a curated record
AAAUUAUAUGAAAAGUAAACAUAAUUUAAAAUGUUUGGUCAAAUCUUAUGUAGUUUGAGCAGACUGUUAAUACACCAGCCAGUUUGUACUAAGCCUAACAAAUUCUGCGAUUUUCCAUAUUCUAUUUUCCUGGUUGCAAGUUCUCUAAAAUAUUCUAUAAGCUGUGGAGUCUGAAGAUUUGACGAAAGCAGUAAAUGAGUGAUUCAAUCAUCUAAAAGAAAAUGGCCGGAAGACAUUUCACUGCUGCUUCUGGAACCUUCAAACCCAGAUCUCCGGCAUUAUUUUUACUCCUUGCUCUUCUCGCUCUCACUCUCCUCUUCUACAUCUUCUCCUCCAUCUCCACCUCUUCUAACUCCACCGGCAACCUCAUCUCCUCCCGGAACCCUAACUCCGGUAUCGAUUACUCCUUCGUUUCUUCACUCGAGAAAUUCCUCACCAAAUCUCCACGAUCCGCAACGGCCGGUGAAGAUACAGUUUCAGGAACGACGUCGGUGGAGGAUGCUAGAAAAUUAGAUGAUUCCAUUUGGAAGAAUGAGAAUCAAAGGCUUUAUGAUGAGCCGUUUUACCCUGCUUUUUCGCCGCUCAAGGUUUAUGUAUACGAAAUGCCGGCGAAAUUCACUUAUGAUUUGCUUUGGUUGUUUCAUAACACGUAUAAAGAGACUUCAAAUCUUACCUCUAAUGGUAGUCCUGUUCACCGCUUGAUCGAACAGCAUUCAAUUGAUUACUGGUUGUGGGCGGACUUGAUAGCGCCAGAAUCAGAGAGGUUACUGAAGAAUGUAGUGAGAGUAUACAAGCAGGAGGAAGCUGACCUUUUUUAUAUUCCGUUUUUCACUACCAUUAGCUUCUUUUUGAUGGAGAAACAGCAAUGCAAGGCUCUUUAUAGGGAAGCUCUGAAAUGGGUUAUGGAUCAACCAGCUUGGAAUAGAUCUGAGGGAAGAGAUCACAUACUUCCAGUUCAUCAUCCUUGGUCUUUCAAGUCUGUCCGCAAGUUUAUGAAGAAAGCUAUUUGGUUGCUCCCUGAUAUGGACUCAACAGGGAACUGGUACAAGCCUGGACAAGUUUAUCUCGAGAAAGACCUGAUACUUCCUUAUGUUGCCAAUCUCGAUCUAUGUGAUGCUAAAUGUUUGUCUUCAUCAAGGAGAACUACGCUGCUAUUUUUCCGGGGAAGACUUAAAAGAAAUGCUGGUGGUAAGAUACGUGCCAAACUUGUGGAAGAGCUCCGUGGUGCAGAUGGAGUAUCCAUUGAGGAAGGGACUGCUGGAGAAGGAGGAAAAGAAGCAGCACAGGUUGGCAUGCGCAAGAGUAUAUUUUGCCUAAAUCCAGCUGGUGACACCCCAUCGUCAGCCAGAUUGUUUGAUGCAAUUGUCAGUGGCUGCAUUCCUAUCAUAGUCAGCGACGAACUAGAGCUUCCUUUCGAGGGGAUUCUUGAUUAUCGGAAGGUAUUAGUUACCUAGACAUUCUUAUUCUCAAUGUCAAUCCGAGGUAAUGGCUUUCUUUUUGGAACAUAUUCUUUGAUCUAGGCUCUAUGGAAACUGCUAAUACAAAGUUAAGAUGAUUAAUCAUCAUAAUUGGAAGUGUCAGUCAAGAAAGCUGCAGUAUUUGUUCAAGGCCAGUUGUAAUGUUGAUGGUCUAAGAGGAAGUUACAUCUGCAGGAUUUAGUAAUUUAUGAUGGAUUAAGAGGAAGUUACAUCUGCAGGAUUUAGUAGUCUAUGAGGAAGUUGCAUUUAUCAAUUUAUAUUAGUUUACUGGGGAACAUCAAGUUUCAGUGAUUGCUCUGUUUGUCUCUUCUAGUGAUGCUUUGCAACCAGGGUGGCUUUUGUCAUUUCUAAAAAGUGUUAGUGGGGCUCAAAUUAAAGAGAUGCAAGCGAAUUUAGCUAAGUAUGCUAGGCAUUUUCUUUAUUCUCAUCCAGCUCAGCCGCUAGGUCCUGAAGACUUAGUCUGGAGAAUGAUGGCAGGAAAGCUGGUCAAUAUCAAGCUUCACACUCGAAGGUCACAACGCGUGGUGAAAGGAUCCAGAAGUCUGUGUACUUGUGAGUGCAGAAGUCCCAAUGCUACAAGCCCAGGUCCAUUGUCUUGAUUGUAGAUCGCAGAUGCUUCCCUUUUUUUGUCACUCAACAAAAAAUUGUCUUUUUUCCCCUUGUAUAAAUUUGCACUGCAACAUUUGAUAUGGUUCUAUUAGACUUGGGCAAUAUGUGAUUGUGUAAGUAAGAACCAAGUAAAUGUGAUCUUUUCUUCAAACUCCUGUCUAAUUUUGUCUGAAGAAUAUUUAAGUUAGCUUGGUGACAGAAACUUAAUAACACACAAUUUGUAUAUAUACCUGUUUGUAAUGUUGGCUUAGAUUUCUACUUGUGGAAAUGAUCAGCCUUGAGAUAUUGAGAUCGUUUUGAAUUUUGUGUCAA